Molecule: ribosomal RNA, 476 nt
Filed under: Mugil platanus
Lineage: Eukaryota; Metazoa; Chordata; Actinopteri; Mugiliformes; Mugilidae
Description: partial 16S ribosomal RNA
Rfam family: Bacterial large subunit ribosomal RNA
Source: RNAcentral
GCCUGCCCAGUGACCCCUGUUCAACGGCCGCGGUAUUUUAACCGCGCAAAGGUAGCGCAAUCACUUGUCCCUUAAAUGAGAACCAGUAUGAAUGGCUAGACGAGGGCUUAACUGUCUCCUUUUCCCAACCAAUGAAAUUGAUCUUCCCGUGCAGAAGCGGGAAUACUAACAUAAGACGAGAAGACCCUGCGGAGCUUUAGACGCCAGAACAGAUCACGUCAAAUACCUCUCUCAAACAGGUAACAACAAAUGAACCCUGUCCCACGUCUUAGGUUGGGGCGACCACGGUGAACAGAAAAACCCCCGCGUGGACUGAGAGCACAUACCUCACACUUAUUAAUACUGCUUCUCACAACCAUGAGCUACAGCUCUAAAUAACAGAACUUCUGACCAAAAAAAUGAUCCGGCAACGCCGAUUAACGGACCAAGUUACCCCAGGGAUAACAGCGCAAUCCUCUUUAAGAGUCCAUAUCGAC